ACGAACGCUGGCGGCGUGCUUAACCCCUGCAAGUCGAACGGAAAGGCCCUGCUUUUGUGGGGUGCUCGAGUGGCGAACGGGUGAGUAACACGUGAGUAACCUGCCCUUGACUUUGGGAUAACUUCAGGAAACUGGGGCUAAUACCGGAUAGGAGCUCCUGCUGCAUGGUGGGGGUUGGAAAGUUUCGGCGGUUGGGGAUGGACUCGCGGCUUAUCAGCUUGUUGGUGGGGUAGUGGCUUACCAAGGCUUUGACGGGUAGCCGGCCUGAGAGGGUGACCGGCCACAUUGGGACUGGGAUACCGCCCAGACUCCUACGGGAGGCAGCAGUGGGGAAUAUUGCACAAUGGGCGGAAGCCUGAUGCAGCAACGCCGCGUGCGGGAUGACGGCCUUCGGGUUGUAAACCGCUUUCGCCUGUGACGAAGCGUGAGUGACGGUAAUGGGUAAAGAAGCACCGGCUAACUACGUG
RNAcentral lists this ribosomal RNA (467 nucleotides) under uncultured bacterium. RNAcentral describes it as "partial 16S ribosomal RNA". It matches the Rfam family "Bacterial small subunit ribosomal RNA", at positions 29 to 507 of the family's 1533-position model. The record is from RNAcentral.